RNAcentral lists this transfer RNA (64 nucleotides) under Drosophila rubida. RNAcentral's name for it is "tRNA-Leu". RNAcentral also lists the same sequence under 1 other name. Lineage: Eukaryota; Metazoa; Arthropoda; Insecta; Diptera; Drosophilidae. The record is from RNAcentral.
GCUAUUUUGGCAGAUUAGUGCAAUAAAUUUAGAAUUUAUUUAUGUAAAAUUAUUACAAAUAGUA